RNAcentral lists this ribosomal RNA (495 nucleotides) under uncultured bacterium. RNAcentral's name for it is "partial 16S ribosomal RNA". It matches the Rfam family "Bacterial small subunit ribosomal RNA", at positions 29 to 506 of the family's 1533-position model. The record is from RNAcentral.
AUGAACGCUGGCGGCGUGCCUCAUACAUGCAAGUCGAGCGAACAGACGAGGAGCUUGCUCCUCUGACGUUAGCGGCGGACGGGUGAGUAACACGUGGAUAACCUACCUAUAAGACUGGGAUAACUUCGGGAAACCGGAGCUAAUACCGGAUAAUAUAUUGAACCGCAUGGUUCAAUAGUGAAAGACGGUUUUGCUGUCACUUAUAGAUGGAUCCGCGCCGCAUUAGCUAGUUGGUAAGGUAACGGCUUACCAAGGCAACGAUGCGUAGCCGACCUGAGAGGGUGAUCGGCCACACUGGAACUGAGACACGGUCCAGACUCCUACGGGAGGCAGCAGUAGGGAAUCUUCCGCAAUGGGCGAAAGCCUGACGGAGCAACGCCGCGUGAGUGAUGAAGGUCUUCGGAUCGUAAAACUCUGUUAUUAGGGAAGAACAAAUGUGUAAGUAACUAUGCACGUCUUGACGGUACCUAAUCAGAAAGCCACGGCUAACUACGU